CAGCCCUCAAGCGCGGCUUGGUGUUGGGCGUGGCCCGCGCGGCCGGCCCCAAAGACAGUGGCGGCGCCGCCUGGCCCUGAGCGCAGUACAGCUCUCGCUCCAGGGCCCGGCGGUGGCCUGCCAGACCCCGACCCAGU
This 137-nucleotide unclassified non-coding RNA is filed under the name uncultured Helotiales. RNAcentral's name for it is "sequence contains ITS2". The record is from RNAcentral. Lineage: Eukaryota; Fungi; Ascomycota; Leotiomycetes; Helotiales.